Megalobrama amblycephala (Wuchang bream) is the source of this 1440-nucleotide long non-coding RNA. RefSeq lists it as uncharacterized. Lineage: Eukaryota; Metazoa; Chordata; Actinopteri; Cypriniformes; Xenocyprididae. The record is from RefSeq and is a predicted model, not a curated record. The transcript is spliced from 2 exons.
UUAUUUGUUAUUACACUCUAAGAAGAAAUGUGUAUAAAAAUGAUAUGAUGUAUAACAUUCUAGUUUACACAUUUUGUGUCAAUAUUACAUAAAAAUGUGUUGGAAGACUUCAAUUGUUUUAUACAAAUUAUGUGUAGUUUUAAAAUUAUUGUUUGUAUUUGUUCACAGCAUCAACACAAUCUGUGCAGCCAAGAAUAGCUAUAAUGUGUUAAUAUUACACAUUUACACAUCUUUCACGAGAUCAUGUGCCCAUAUAAUCUUAGCGUAAGUGGUAAACAGAUUUGGCUUGCUGUCUGCUAUAGAGGGGCUCAGAAAGGAUAUCCUACUUGAGCUCUGAUUGCCCUCAAUAACAGGCAAAAAAUAGUACAAAAGGAGGAGAAGAGGAGGAGGAGGAGGAGGGAUGCCGAAAGAACUAACAACAGGAAGAGAGGUGAAGACCAGACCUCCAAAACCAAGAUCAUUCAAGACCAGAGGUGUGAUCGAGACCAGACCUUCCAAGACCAAAACAAGACCAUUCAAUCAAGAUAAUUCAUUAAUAUUGUGACUAUUAGUGAUAUUAGUAACACCUGCUGUUAACAAACAGAAUAACUGGAAGAACAGAAAAAACAGUAGAAACCCAAGGACAAGAUAAAAUACAUUAAAUGCCAACCCAACACUUCAUCAUAACCUUUCAAUUAAACUUGCGUCGUCAACCAUUACUCCUUCCAGGACAGCCAGGAACCUUGGAGUGGUGAUGGAUGAUUUUUUAAGCUUCCCAGAUCACGACCAUGUCCUGCAGAUUUGCCAUGUACAACAUCAAGAAGAUUAGUUUCCUAUCGGAACAUUCCACACAAAUUCUUGUCCAAGCUCUUGUUAUAUCCAGACUGGACUAUUGUAAUGCUCUCUUGGCUGGCCUUCCAGCAUGCACUGUCAAGCCUCUACAACUGAUCCAGAAUGCUGCAGCAAGACUGGUCUUUAACGAACCGAAGAAAGCGUACGUCACUCCUCUCUUCAUCAGUCUGCAUUGGCUGCCAGUAGCUGCUCCUAUCCAGUUCAAGGCUCUGAUGUUUGCCUACAGAACGACCGUUGCCUCUGCACCGCUAUACCUUAACUCACUACUUCAGACUUAUGCGCCCUCCAGAAACUUGCAUUCUGCAAGUGAACGGCGCCUUGUGGUGCCAUCACAAAGGGGCACAAAAUCACUCUCGCGGACCUUCUCCGUGUCUGUUCCUGGCUGGUGGAAUGACCUGCCACGCUUUAUCUGAGAAGCUGAGUCCUUGGGCAUUUUAAAAAAAAACUGUCUUUUUCAUCAACAUUUGACCCAGUAAUAGUAGCACUUACUUUUUAUUUAUCUUUCUUGUCUUUGAUUUCUACUCUUUGUCCAUCUAUGUAUGUAUUUUUUUUUAAAAACAAAUCCUUGCUACAAGCACUUUACUGAUUAAACUGUGACUUCACACAGUA